RNAcentral lists this ribosomal RNA (605 nucleotides) under uncultured Alphaproteobacteria bacterium. RNAcentral describes it as "bacterial SSU rRNA". It matches the Rfam family "Bacterial small subunit ribosomal RNA", at positions 36 to 674 of the family's 1533-position model. The record is from RNAcentral. Lineage: Bacteria; Pseudomonadati; Pseudomonadota; Alphaproteobacteria.
CUGCGGCCGCUACACAUGCAGUCGAACGAAGUACAUACUUAGUGGCAGACGGGUGAGUAACAUGUGGGUAUCUGCCCUUUGGCCUGGAAUAACACGAGGAAACUUGUGCUAAUACCGGAUAAGUCUUUACGGAGAAAGCUUUAUGCACCAUUGGAUGAGCCCGCACUUGAUUAGUUUGUUGGUGGGGUAAUGGCCUACCAAGACUGUGAUCAAUAGCUGAUUUGAGAGGAUGAUCAGCCACAUUGGGACUGAGACACGGCCCAAACUCCUACGGGAGGCAGCAGUGGGGAAUCUUGCACAAAUGGAGGAAACUCUGAUGCAGCGAUGCCGCGUGAGUGAAGAAGGCCCUUGGGUUGUAAAAGCUCUUUCGUCGGGGAAGAAGAUGACUGUUACCCCGAAUAAGAAGGUCCGGCUAGACUUCGUGCCAGCAGCCGCGGGUAAUAACGAAGGGGACCUAGCGUAGUUUCGGAACUUACUGGGGCUUAAAGGAGUUCGUAGAGUGGUUGAACAAAAUUAGUGGUGAAAUCCCAGAGAUUAACUCUGGGAACUUGCGCCUUAAACCUUUUCACGCCUAGAGUAUUCUAAAGGAGAGCCGAACUUCUACU